RNAcentral lists this transfer RNA (66 nucleotides) under Stylochoplana maculata. RNAcentral's name for it is "tRNA-Leu". The record is from RNAcentral. Lineage: Eukaryota; Metazoa; Platyhelminthes; Polycladida; Leptoplanidae.
UAUGAGGUGGCAGAUUUAGAUGUGAUAAGCUUAGGACUUAUUUAGGUGCUCAUACCACCCUCAUAA